Molecule: transfer RNA, 65 nt
Filed under: unidentified
Description: Bochrus foveatus tRNA-Ile
Source: RNAcentral
AAUAAGGUGCCUGAAUAAAAGGAUUAUCUUGAUAGGAUAAAUUAUGUAAAAAUUUACCCUUAUUA